RNA transcript from Gymnodraco acuticeps, 2594 nucleotides. RefSeq lists it as uncharacterized. The record is from RefSeq and is a predicted model, not a curated record. NCBI's taxonomy places the organism in Eukaryota, Metazoa, Chordata, Actinopteri, Perciformes, Bathydraconidae. The transcript is spliced from 3 exons.
AAUUACAAGUAACCGGUGGACACUCUCGCUCUCUCUCGCUCGCGCCACACAUACACACACCCUGAUUUAUGAUCGGUAUGGGAUAGGCCAUGUCGGCAGGCCACAUAAUUUAGACAGACGUCACCCUGUGUGAGGAAAACCCACAGCGUUGCGUUCACAAUAUAUUAAUAAAACAUUUAAAAAAUCAGCAGGUCACUCAACAGGCCAGGCCAUCGAGAAACCUCCCGGUCCUCCCGAUAGCCAGUCCGGGCCUCCUUCUGAGUACUUCUCCCACCUUACACGUAAUUGGGGCAACAGAACUCCGAGUUAAGGAAGUUGAAAACGGUGCAUUUCUCCGUAUGAAUAUGAUGCCUUUUGGCCAGCUGACGGAGAGAUUGCUCGUGUUUCCGUGAAAAUACUUAUGGCAAACGAGCAUUGACCACAUCGUCUGUGAGCGAGAUGCCCCGCCCCCCACACAGAGGAGAGAGAGAGAAAGAGAGAUCUCUGCACCAAACACGUUAGAUGUCAAGGGAGAUAUAUGCCUCAUCACACUUUGUUGAUUUUGGCAUUAAAGCUGAAAGACUUGUCGACGGCUCGUCCACUUUUCUUUUAACUGCCGGUUGUGUUAAAACCAUAGACUGUAUAUAUAAAUGGACGUAGGGUCCGUGACGUCACCCAUAGGAUUCUGCAGAGUUGCCGUGAAGCCCUUAGUAGGCGGAGUCGGCCACUAACGGCUCGACAGUGACGUCAGAGUCUAACUCCCGCCUGCUCCAAAUAAGGGCAAAGAGGCGGAGCCGAGGCGGGACAGGGCGGGACCUGCUGCCAACGAGCGUGAUGUUCCAGACCUAGCUCAGGCUAAGAAGCUAAGCUAACAUGCUCUCAGUAUUAAGCUAACAACACAGUCUAUGCUAACAACCCUGCCUAUGCUAACAACCCAGCUUGCGGUCACUGCUCCUCGUUCCCGGCAUAUUCUGAAGCAUUAAGAAAAAAGAAGAUGGCAACCUCCUCCACGCCAAACUGCACAACCUUGACUGUAUGGAUAAUCGGAGACAGCUACGUCCGGCGUGGAGCCCAGAGAGCUACAGAGACCAUCGGCAGCAACCUUGGCCUCGACCUGAGGGUGUGCUGGUUCAGUUGGGGUGGACUGCGCUGGAGAGGUGUCCUCCCUUUCUUUUCCUACUCCCUGCGAGGAAUAGCAGUCCCGGAUGUCCUCCUCAUCCACUGUGACUUGGGGGAUGUGCCCAGUGUUCAGUUGCUGAACCAGAUGAAGGAGGACCUGCACCAGCUUCACCAUCGGCACCCUGGCAUGAAGAUCAUGCUCUCCCAGAUCAACCAGAGGCGCCUGUGGAGGGCUGGUGCAAAUGCUGUCAAAAUUGACAAGGCCCGGAAGUUUGUUAACAGUGUUAUGGCUACUUUUGUUCAUAGCCUAAAUGGUGUCAUUGUUGACCACUCCAACAUUAGACAUGACAGUCCUGGGCUUUUUUUGCGAGAUAGAGUUCAUUUCACCCCUAGGGGAAAUGAUAUUUUUUUAAAGUCACUAGCCAAUUGCCUGAAAGACCACCUCCAAAGACUGUGAACUGCUAAAAUGUCAGUAUCACUGUUUUUGGAUUUGGCCUUUAGAGUAUGUAUUCUAAGGCCCUUGCUAAGCCCAGACUGUCAUGGCUAAUGUUGAGUUAGAUAUUACAUCUGUAGCCAUAACACUGUUAACAUGGCUGCUCUUCCUCUUCCCCACAUCCCACCCCCCCCUCUUCCCCCAAUGGACUCUGUAGCUCUCCAGGCCCAUGCUGGGCAUGGCUGUCUGUCAAACCUUUUAUUUUGUAUUUGUUAUGAUGUUUUUUGUUUAUUUGUUAAAAUAAUUCUGUAUUUAUGUAAAUAUUGAAAAUAAAUUACAUUCAUAUUUUCACUUCUUUUGUCUACUGCUUACUGAAAAUGUUAGCUAUCACAUCCAAAUGGGACUAUCAAAUGAAAGGAUAAGCUUACCAUACAAUACAGAAAACAUUACACAUUAAGGCUCAAAUCUUUUCCCAAGCCGUAGCAGUCUGAAAAGAGUCCCAAGUUUAAAAACACAAAAUCUUGACAAUGAAUGAAACGCUGUCAUUUAUCAGUGACAAUGCAAACAACAAGAAGGUCUCCCCUAAUCCCAUGUGUUUUGGCAUCAAAUAUGUCAUAAGCAUACCAUAGAAUGUAAUUAUGAAGUGCAAUACCCACAAUCCCAACAGGGUCGUAACAUCACAAAAGAUAAUACCUUUUAGAGAGUUUCGAAAUUGUUCAGUAUGCAGAUAAAUAUUUGUUUUACAAUAGAAACAUUUUUCUCCAUAAAUGUUCCCACAUGUUGUGAGCAUCAACUUUAAAUCUUUUGUCAACAAAUAAAAAACAUCUUAAUUUCCUUUACGACAACAUUUUGUUUAUAACACCACUACAUUAACAAUAAGCAUAGGAAAAUGAUAAAUGUCGACAUUUAAGAUUGUGCUUUUACUCUGUAUUUAAUCAGAUCUAUUUCACAUUGAAAAUGUGAUAAAUACAGAAGCCACAUUGAAAGUUACAUCUUGCAUUUUAUGAAAAGUAAAGAAUAAUUUUAUGACUUAAGUACACUAGAAAAUAAAUUAAAGAUGUGC